Small nucleolar RNA from Pipistrellus kuhlii (Kuhl's pipistrelle), 135 nucleotides. RefSeq annotates it as small nucleolar RNA SNORA4. The record is from RefSeq and is a predicted model, not a curated record. Lineage: Eukaryota; Metazoa; Chordata; Mammalia; Chiroptera; Vespertilionidae. The transcript has a single exon.
CUACCAAAAGUUUUAUUUUGGGUGAAGGUUUUUUAGUAACCUUUACCAAUUAGGCUCUUUGGGAGAAUAAAGACCACACUCCACAGUGGGCUAUAUCACUAACAUAUAGCCCAUUACUAUUUUGUGGCCUACAUU